This is a long non-coding RNA of Camelus dromedarius (Arabian camel), 1222 nucleotides long. RefSeq lists it as uncharacterized. NCBI's taxonomy places the organism in Eukaryota, Metazoa, Chordata, Mammalia, Artiodactyla, Camelidae. The transcript has 3 exons. The record is from RefSeq and is a predicted model, not a curated record.
GGGAAGGGACAGCUGGGGAGCGCCACAAGUAAGGAUGAGAUGCUGCUCCGGGCCAGGUGAUUUGGGUCGCAAGAAACAGAAAUCCUCUCAAAGACAAGACACCAAGGCCAGACUAGCGCACAGGCCAACAAGAUUUGUGCUGAGUGGGUGAAGAGUGGGCCUGCACUACUGCAAGUCUCUGGAAGAAGAGAUUAGCAGCAUCCACCGCCCCUGUGAAUGCUGUCUUCACGUCUGUUAUUUAUGAAUGUGCUCCGAGUGACUUGUGAACCACCCAAAGAUGAAAUCCAGAGGUGGAUCCAAGAAGAAAAAAGCUACUGUUGCCUCACUUAUGACACAAACAAUAUUGUCUAGUGUGUGAUGUUUGUCCUCAGUCUCUUCUCCUUCCCGUUUCUGAGUCUCCCUGUAAAUAUCCAGCUAAUCUCAGCACACUAGGAGUCACCAGCCUUCCAAAUGCCCUCGUCAGGCACACCCUUGAGACCUACUCUCUGCAGGCAGCUCCUAAAUCCCUCCUCUUCCCCACCUGUGUCCUAUCAACACGGAUGCAGAGGGAGCAUCAGGUCCUAAGCAUACAGAUCCCCCCCUUUCCCACGGCAAUUUCUGAUUUAACCUAUAAAAUGAGGGGCAGGGGGAGAGACGCUUUUCUGUGCUCUUUAAUUUCCAGUAUGUAAUAAAUUUUGCCUGUUUAAAUUAAUCCUUUAAUAAAUGAACAAAUGACUGAAUGAAUCUUCAGGACAUGCAACAAUACCGUUUUAUUAAAACUUAAUUUGGAAUCUAUGUAAUAGCAGAGAAAGAGAAAGAACAAAAGAAAGUGAAAGAAAAGGAAAAAAGAGAGAGAGAAGCCAGAAAACAACAAUGGCAGUGAGCAUCUGGUGUAUUCUCCAGGCACCAGCCUGGAUGCUGGCGCUAUGAGGAAGGCUCUUCUCCCAGGACAAGCAAGGCGAAUUCGUGGUGGGGAGAGGGAGAAAGCAGCAUAAGACAUCGUAAUGUUUCCGCACCUGUGUUUAUGUUAGUUAGAACUUGCCUUUGUGAAGAAUGAUGACACCACCAACAGAGGAGUUUCUGGGAUGAGACAAUUGCCCCAAAGAUUCAUUGUUUUAGCUGUGGAGGGUAUCAGUUUUAUUUGUCCCCUGACAUCUUGCACUACCUUGGGACUAAGGCACCAUGGGUGGCCUUGACUCACCUGAUGACAUAAUGCCUAGAGGAGUUCCCUCCAAUAAAGCCC